GGCCUCUCUCCCACAGGGCUGUAGGGAUUCCCUUCUCUCCUCAGGCAGCAAUGAAGGCCAAGAUCGGCCCUCACGGAUCAUCAUCGAACUGCCAUCAGCUGGGCAGCCUUGUUUUUCUAAAUCAGACAUUU
Non-coding RNA from Cynocephalus volans (Philippine flying lemur), 131 nucleotides. Lineage: Eukaryota; Metazoa; Chordata; Mammalia; Dermoptera; Cynocephalidae. The record is from RefSeq and is a predicted model, not a curated record.